Chelonia mydas (Green sea turtle) is the source of this 46-nucleotide non-coding RNA. The record is from Rfam. Lineage: Eukaryota; Metazoa; Chordata; Testudines; Cheloniidae.
AAAACGGUUCUUUUCAGAACCAUCCCCCAGGGUUCAUCAAAAGAGC